CCCUUAGAUGCUCUGGGCCGCACGCGCGCUACACUGGUCGAUGCAACGAGUUUCUUUCCUUGGCCGACAGGCCUGGGCAAUCUUUGAACAUCGAUCGUGAUCGGGAUAGAUUCUUGUAAUUUUUGAUCUUAAACGAGGAAUUCCUAGUAAACGCAAGUCAUCAGCUUGCAUUGAUUACGUCCCUGCCCUUUGUACACACCGCCCGUCGCACCUACCGAUUGAAUGGUCCGGUGAAAUCUCCGGACUGGCGUGAGUCGGAGCAAUCUGGCGAACGCCGGAAAGUUGAUUAAACCUUACCAUUUAGAGGAAGGUGAAGUCGUAACA
RNAcentral lists this ribosomal RNA (324 nucleotides) under uncultured eukaryote. Its description in RNAcentral is "partial 18S ribosomal RNA". It matches the Rfam family "Eukaryotic small subunit ribosomal RNA", at positions 1470 to 1796 of the family's 1831-position model. The record is from RNAcentral.